CAGGGGUUUGUUACCUGGGGGAGCCGGAGGGGAGGGGGUGCUGUUCAGUGCAGUCGGCUUCCUGUGAAAGUUCAGCCACCUUAGCAGGUAAUUAAGGCCCGGCUGUACUCAGCCUGGGUGAGAUCCAUAAAGCGAUGAUGUGACAGCCUUAAUUAGCGAGGCCUUUUCUUCAUAAAUACGUAUGGCACUUAAUGAGCAUCAGAAUGGAGCCUGGAUUUGCAGCCGCUGCUGGCCGUGAAUCUCGCGCACAGGAGGAAGCAAGGCGACUCUCCUGGGAAGCGCGUCUCCCUUCAGCAGCCCCGCCUGUGCCCGGGAUCCUGGGCCGGACGGCUCACUGCAGACUUCUGGCCUCGGGGUCCUGAGCUCCCGAGACCCGGCGCUCUCGUCUGCCAGAAAGUGAGGCAACAAGCGAGUGGAUCGGCAGGAGCCAGCUUGGCCCCUCUGGGUGCUGCCCGUGGUCAUUUCCUGCCGUCUCGCAGCAUGGGGACCUGGGGAGCAGGGUCGGUGUCACUCACGGUGGUGGGCAGUGAACGCCGGUCUGCUGAUGUCACUGGUGUUGGGGGUGAGGAGGCACAGUCCAGGCGUGAAGGCCUUUCUGGUGGCUGGCAUCUCGGCCCGGACCCCCUUCCGGCCAGGCCCACCACUGCCCUGCCUGAAACCCCAGCCUCUCUGUGCGGGAGGCGCCCCAUACCUACGAGGGGCCGCCCGCCUGUCUUGCCUCCAGGAUCCCGGGCGAGCCUGGUAGUCUGUCCUCACGACAUCAGCUUCGACUAAACCGUGAACUUCCGUGCCAUCAGAGGUGCAGCCUGAUGGGGACCAUGUCCGGGAGCUGCCUCAUUCAUCAGCGGGUACAGCAAGGUGGCCCAUCCGUCCCGUGGAAAGACAGACAAGGCGCUCACAUGAGCUACAGCACGGAAGAGUCUUGAAAACGUGGUGCCGACAGGAGGAAAAUCAGCUUCUGGUGACUGUGAGAUGAACUCACGGGCAGGAUGUUCGCCCCCUACCUCCCCAGGAUGGACGGGACUGGGAGUCUCUGGAAUCAUCCACGCUGGAGUCGCCUCGGAACCAUCGGGAGGCCGGAAACAAGAGAUUCGAGCUGAGUGUCCGGGAAAGACAAUCCGCCACGGAAUGCACCGGCCUGGUGGGAGGACAGGAAGCUGCCCAGGAGCCGGCGGGCCCACUCACCCACCCAGCUCAGGUCAAGCCUAAGUCCUGCACAGGUGCAUGUGAUGGGUGGAAUCUACAGCUCAGCUUGAACUCAAGCUGCAAAGGGUUCUGGGAAAUGUAGUUCUUAGCGUUGCAGCUUCCAUAGUCCAGGAAGGCGUGCUCCGACUCUGAACAGAUGGAGAGAGCCAGCGCCCCGUGGCCACACACAGCCCAUAAUCCCUGGGCACUGCGCUUUCCAAAGGGUGGCAUGGGCUACAUACCACGUUGUCCUGAUCUCCCACCCUGCCGGAGCAGGGGGGAAGUUGGCCCCUAAAACUCAGGACAGAAGGUAAGAGGUUAGGGCCGGACUGGUGUCAGCAUCUUAGCUACUGCUCACUCCUUAGCACUGGGAGCUUCUGCGACCUAUCAAGUUUGCCAUAAACUCACGGGAUGCGGAUUUUGUCACUCGUA
This is a long non-coding RNA of Herpailurus yagouaroundi (jaguarundi), 1617 nucleotides long. RefSeq lists it as uncharacterized. Lineage: Eukaryota; Metazoa; Chordata; Mammalia; Carnivora; Felidae. The transcript has 3 exons. The record is from RefSeq and is a predicted model, not a curated record.